GUAGGUGGCAAGCGUUGUCCGGAAUUAUUGGGCGUAAAGCGCGCGCAGGCGGGGUCCUUUGAGUCUGAUGUGAAAGCCCACGGCUCAACCGUGGAGGGUCAUUGGAAACUGGGGGACUUGAGUACAGAAGAGGAAAGCGGAAUUCCAAGUGUAGCGGUGAAAUGCGUAGAGAUUUGGAGGAACACCAGUGGCGAAGGCGGCUUUCUGGUCUGUAACUGACGCUGAGGCGCGAAAGCGUGGGGAGCAAACAGGAUUAGAUACCCUGGUAGUCCACGCCGUAAACGAUGAGAGCUAAGUGUUAGGGGGUUUCCGCCCCUUAGUGCUGCAGCUAACGCAUUAAGCACUCCGCCUGGGGAGUACGGCCGCAAGGCUG
RNAcentral lists this ribosomal RNA (373 nucleotides) under uncultured organism. Its description in RNAcentral is "partial 16S ribosomal RNA". It matches the Rfam family "Bacterial small subunit ribosomal RNA", at positions 527 to 896 of the family's 1533-position model. The record is from RNAcentral.